UAUCGAAACGGGGCUUCAAUGCCCCGUCUGCAUGGAAUAGGCGCCAUGUACUGAUGAGAUAGCCUUAA
This 68-nucleotide non-coding RNA is filed under the name Ligilactobacillus ruminis. Lineage: Bacteria; Bacillati; Bacillota; Bacilli; Lactobacillales; Lactobacillaceae. The record is from RNAcentral.